UGGCAUAUGGAAGUUCCCAGGCUAGGGGUCUAAUCGGAGCUGUAGCCGCCGGCCUACACCAGAGCCACAGCAAUGCCAGAUAUCAGCCGUGUCUGCAACCUACACCACAGCUCAUGGCAAAGCUGGAUCCUUAACCCACUGAGCGAAGCCAGGGAUCAAACUCGAAACCUCAUGGUUCCCACUCUACACCUGAAUUUCAAUUGCACAUUGGUCAUUUCAUCCAGGUUAAUGUUGGGACUUCAAAUUAGUGGUAUGUCCAAAACUGAACCACUCUCCCUCACCCAACCAAACCAGGCCCUCUUCUGGAUAUUUUUAUGUCCUCUUGUUUUGUUUCAUAGCCUUGAUUUUCAAAAUUCCAAAAGAGCUCUUAAUAGUCUCUCCACCUUGGCCUCCAAAUCAAAUUAUUUUAUGGACUCAUAGAUUUAUCAUCAUCGUUGAAAUCCAUUUCAUCAUGUUUAUUCACACUGCCUCUACUAUAUUUUAUCAGUCUUUAUUGAAAAAUAUUCAUUUUUUCAAGUUCUAAGGAAACUAAUAAUGGAAUACCUUUUUCCACACAUCUGAAGAUACAAUUAAAAACAGCAUCCUAAUAUAACAUAUUGUAGUUCUAUGUGUUUUCUGUCAUUAACAGAUAAAAAUGAGCCGGAAAAAUGUCACAUCUCAAUAUACGUAACAGUGAAAUUCUGAGGAAGGGAUAAUGCUGAUAGUGAGAUGCUGGUAGACAGAAGAGACACCUAUAUUUAUAGAUUUGCUGUGUUAUGAAGGAAUUAGGUAUUCAGCUUUCUUUGUGCAACUGGAUUAUUUUCCACAUCACACUUUUGCAAAGGCUUCAAGAGUAGACAUCACAUUUUGUAAGAAGUAAAUAUUUGUUGAGUGCUUUUCCCACAGCCUCUGCAAACCCACUGUGGACAAAGAACCAUCUGUUUUGCCCUGACCACAAAGCACUGGUGGCCCCUCACAAAUUUCCAUGUAUUGGGUCUCUUCAGAGAAGCCUAUGGUCCAGGAGAGAUGUGUGAUAAUAUGGUUACUUGCAGGCCCUUUUAGCACCAGUAAGUAGGUAAAUGAUACCAUUUUCUGUUCUGGCCAUAGCACUCAAUAGUAAAAAAAACUUGCCAAAAUACAGUCAUUUUAAAUAACAUACCAAGAAUAAAUACACAGUGGUUGUUUUAUACUAGGUAAAAGAAAACAAAUAAAAUUUCAGCUCCAUGAAUGGAAAGAGGGACAUGAAGUGUCAAUUCAGAUAUGCCUAUCAUUUGUCCCUUUACUACCUGCGGAGCCUUGACAAAUUACAGAUCUCUCCAAGUCUCAGAUUCCCCUAAAAUAUAAAAUCAUAAUGAUAUCAACUACUUAUGGAGGGGAAGGACAAAUGAAAGUGCAUUCAUCUGACACAUCAAUAAAUGUUAAGUCCUACUUUCCUUUCCUUUUCCUAAUGAUUUAAUGGGACAAAAAUAGACUUUCCCUACUCCUGCUUGUGAACAGUUUCCAAACUAACUCAAAAAUAUGUUGCUCUGUUACAAUUUAGCAUAUGGCUACCAAAAUGUGUAUAAAUAUUUUCUCUAAACACAUGGAUUAUGUAUGAAUGUAAUUAAUUUCCACUGUUAAAGUUUAGACAAAAUGUCCAACUAUAUUAUCUAAGCAAAAAAUAUAUAUAUACUCUUUAUCGAUGAGUCAACUGUAAUUUCAUGAAACAUAUUAAUACACAAAAAAAUCUCUAGUUUUUCUUUAGUACGAAGGUGCACAGCGAUGCAUUCCAUUGCAUCUUUCAGAAAAGCAGGAUAGGGUUCCCGUGAUCUCCACUAUAAUUCUCCUCUCCAUUUAGAUUUAAUGGAGAGGCUCAAGAAAUAAAUCUCACAGUCCUGACCCCAGCUGAGGAGUCUCCAAGGACAGUCCAGAAGACAUUUAUCCUAAACACUAACUGAAGUUCUCCCACUGCCCUCUCUGUGGCUAAGAAUGGAUAGAAAAAGGAAAUCGAUACCUCUCUGUUUUCUAGAACGCAGUCUCAAAAUAACUGCAUUAAUACAUAAAUUAAAAAACCUUUAAAUUUAUGGGAGAAUUUAAAAAUUUAAAAUCAACUUUGCACAAUGUAAGUUUGCUAUUAAACAUAAGUCUAACAUGCAACAAAAAAAAUUCCCCAAUAUUUUCUUGAAAAUCUAAAAUGCUACCUGAAUAAGCAAAAUUACUAAAAGUUGGCAAUAGCUGGGUUAGAUAUAUGUAUUCCACACGUCAAAAUGUAAUAGUAAAAAAAAGAAAAGUGAUGGCAAAUAUUUAUAUAACACUUGCUAAAUGUGUAACUAGUUUUUGGUAACUUUAGAAAUGAGACUAUUACUUAAAUUUUACUUAAUAAUCAGUGUUUUCAAAACCAGGGUAUAGCAAAACUAACUGUCCUCACCGUCACUAAUGUGAAAGUUUGUUGCCACUGUGAAUUACUGAAAUUUAUUAAAUUAAAAAGUCAUACUGAAUUAUGAAUAUGGGAUUAUAAAUGCAUUUUUGCAUGUCACUAGAAGUAGAAAAUCAUAAUAAUAACAAUGAAAUAAUUAGAAAUUAAUAACAACUUCAGACCAGUGAGGAAUUUUUUUAAUUUAGGUUUUAAUUUCUUUCCAGAGCUACAUAAACAACUUGAAGAAGAAAUUUCAUCAUUACCUCAGGUUUUUAUACACAAAACGGAAUUUUCUUAAUGGCUAUGUGAUAAAAGAAGUGAAGAAAAUAGCUGUAUUUUUUAAAGUCACAGCUAAUUACUUAAAAAUAAAAUUUUCAAAAGUCAGAGAGAAUAAAUCAAUUUUAAUGAAAAUAUUUUCAAAACCCAUUUAAUUAUGCAAACAAUUCUAAACAUCCACUUCACUUCUGUUCUACUUCCAAUGUAGUUUUAUUUGACUUGAUAUAUUGCCUAAUUGACUACUUACAAUAUCAGUAAACAGUAACCAAAGCAUGACCACACUCUUACUCAAAUCAAAUGCUUUCAAGAAUGCAACAGACAUAGGAGCUUUUCCACAUACUUCUUACUAGCUGCUUUAAAAAAAGAAAAACUAUUUUAUUUAAGAAACAAUUGUCCAAAUAGCACAAGUAUCUUCUAACUAGGAAAAUAUAAUUUUUGGUAUAUCAAAUGUAUGUGCAUUAAUUUUCUAUUCCAUUAUUUUCAAAUCCUAAUGGCAUCAUUGGGUUGCAUAAAUGUGGUAGCUCCUUUAACCAUUACCAUUUCAUAAAAAUUAAAGAAAAUAAACUAUUGGGUUUUUUUGAAAGGAUAAUAUAUCAUUUGUAGUUAAGAAUAUAAAAAGUGCCUUUAUAGGUACGUGUUUGAAACUUCUCCCCUUUAUGUAUAACCCAUCACAGAAUGGCUGCUUGAUGCAGACUAAGAAAAAAAAUCAGUGUGCUACUUGCUUGCUAAUAAUCAUGUGUGGAUAAAUAUAUGAAAUAAUCAAAUGUUUAUUUUUCAUGAUUAAAAUUUCUUCAUUUAAAAAUUCUUGAACAGACCACACACUCAAGACAGAACUCCAGCUAAGAUUUUCUUUCUCUACCAUGUUCAAGACUGGGACAGAAAAUGUACAAUUAAUCAGUAAUCCAGGAUUUUUCAAAAUGUCCAAAUUUUGGCAUCCCAUUGAAAAGCUGCAGUAAAUUUAAUAGGCUGUUUUAAAUUUGAGACUACUUCCUCAUUACAUUCAGAUUAUAAAAUCAACUAACAGUCUAGGAACCAAUUUAAUUUACAUGUCUUCUUUCCUUCAGCUUCUACCUUCACUCCAAACCCUCUUUCCCAGCAGAUUUUAUUUCCUCUCAGUAAGCAAUUAAAAGUAAUCUGCAUGAUUAAGUUUAUCAAAAUCAGAGUAGGUGGCUUGUAGAAUUUAACAAUACUAUUUUCCCAUGAUAAACCAGUAGGCGGUGCUAACUCUAGGAUACUACUUUCAAAGAUUUUAAACCAAAACACUCACAGAAUAGGUGACCAAUUUAAAGAGCUGUAGAAUUCUCAAUAUAAUUUGAGCAGGAGAAAAUUUCAAAGUUCCAUUGCAGCAGAUAGAAAUUUAACAGAAGUAUGUAAUAUAAUGAUCAACAUUAAAUGGAAACCUAAUAUAAUUAAAGGUUUUCAGCAUGAUCUUUGUUUACAAAAUUUAAUGUGCAGCUACAUAUCUGCUCCCACUUGAAAUCCUGUGGACAUCUUCUUCCACCCCACUAUGGUUUCAAGCCCACUUGGAAAUAUACAGUACCAUCUGUGCUCUUACCAACCAGUCUUAACACACAGCUACGCCCAUUUUAGGGCCGCAAGAGAGCCUGUUAAUGAAAAUUCUGGUUUCUUUCUCACUCACUGUGUUUCUCUCUUUUAAAAGAACUAAAGGACUUACAGUGCAUACAUCCUUCAAAGAAAUAUUAGACGUGUAUUGUCUUGCGUUUUUAAAUAAAUGAGCAUUUCUAUUUAUAUACAUUAUUUUCUAACAGUGAUUUUUAAAAACUCACAGAAUGUUGCAAGUGGCUUCUUAAAUGUUUUUGCUAGCUGUUUAAACCAUACGAAAGACUACAUUUUACUAGAGUGCUUACCACCACCACAACAAAAAAAACAAAAUUUAAAGCUUAGUUACAUAAUAUAUGCAUCAAAUCUUAGAACCAUGCCCUUCAGGAUAUCAAGUCUGGUGAUCCACACACAGGACAGAAACUAUCUUCCUGACAUAAAUGCAACAGGACUUUCUUAACAGAUAAAAGCUACCCUGAGCAGGAAAGUAAAUCACACUGCUACUUCCAAAGACCUCUGAAAUGAGAGAGAAUACUGUGAAUUAAAAAAUAUAUAUAGCCUUCUAGAUAUUGCAAUAAAUUUUAAUCUUCUACAGAUUAAUUAUCACUUGCACUCCCUCUCUCCCCACAAAGAGUAAAGAAACACAGACAUAAAACUUCACAAACUGAGCUUACAGACAAAUAUUUGCUUGAAAAAGACACUGUAUAUUAUUAAAAUGUUUGUCAUGGGCCCUUCUCUAUGUUGAAUUUAGUGUUUUAUGUCUAUACAUAACCUAGAAGAAAACUUAAUCUGAGAAGUAAAAGUUAUUUCACCUGCCUUAUUUAACAGAAUUCAAAUUACACAAAGCUUCAGAAUCAAAUCAUUUAAAUAACUGCCUCCAGACUUAAGAUUUAAAGUACAACACAAAAUUUAUUUGGACAGCAAGUUUGCCAGCAGAUUUUCACUGCGUUAAGUACAUAAAUGGCUUUUUACUACCAAAAAGUAGUACCAGAUUAUUUUAUUUACCUUCAAAAAGUAGUACCAGAUUAUACUGGAAAUGUAACAGGACAAUCAUAAAAUGUCUUAAACUCCAUAGAAAGCAUUCAACAUUGAGUACUAUGUUAUGCUACCAACACACUGAAAUCUAUCACCACCGUCACCAACUCCUACCCCUGUCCUGUGCCACGUCUCAGGGGAAAAGCUUUGUAACCACCAUCAGGUGGUUAAAAAGAGGGAAAACACAUCGUGCUUUUAAUGCUCAACCUUACGGAUGUAGUCUCACCAAUGCAAACUGUUUUGUCCUCAACAUUAAAUCCAACUGACCAUCACAGAAAGUAGAUAUCUUCCCCCACCCUGGAAGACGCCAGGCACUUAAAACCAAAGCAACACAAAAGGGAAAGAAAAGAUCCAAAGACAGCACCAUUAAAAAGGCGAAACCCUUCCGAACAAGAAAAACAGGCUGGCAAAGACCUACUGCGUUGUUUACUCAAGGCAAAGAAGAGGAGCGGGAGUUGAGCGUGCGGGGGUUGGUGCCAUCCUCAGGGAUCUGGAAAGGUCUCAAGCACCCCGGGUCCCCUGGCUAGGACCCAGCCCCUUCGGAAGAACUGCCCCUGCCGCUUCUCCCACAGUCUCCCCGGCGCUCCGAUGGGCCGCCCCAGCCGGCUCGCGCAGCGUCCUUGGCCCUCACCCCUUCUGCUCUUCAAGUGGCCCUCGGAGAACUUACAGGGCCCGCCGGCUCCUGUGUCCCCGGCCGGCGCCGCCCGGGGCGCAGACGCCGCCCGCUGCGGAGAUGACCAGGGCGCAGCCGAGGGAGGGACAGUAUUUUGCGCACAUACAAAAACCAGCCCCAGGCCGGGGACGGACUUUGGUUUCCCCUAGCUCCCCUCACGGUUUUCCCCACCGCGGGCUCGGACCCUGCCCGAGCCGCGCGCGCGCACACACGCGCAUAAA
This 6139-nucleotide long non-coding RNA is filed under the name Sus scrofa (pig). RNAcentral's name for it is "lncRNA (ENSSSCG00035049834.1, ENSSSCG00050029283.1)". Lineage: Eukaryota; Metazoa; Chordata; Mammalia; Artiodactyla; Suidae. The record is from RNAcentral.